GACGAACGCUGGCGGUGUGCUUAACACAUGCAAGUCGAACGGUAAGGCCCUUCGGGGUACACGAGUGGCGAACGGGUGAGUAACACGUGGGUGAUCUGCCCUGCACUUCGGGAUAAGCCUGGGAAACUGGGUCUAAUACCGGAUAGGACCCUGGGAUGCAUGUCCUGGGGUGGAAAGCUUUUGCGGUGUGGGAUGGGCCCGCGGCCUAUCAGCUUGUUGGUGGGGCGAUGGCCUACCAAGGCGACGACGGGUAGCCGGCCUGAGAGGGUGACCGGCCACACUGGGACUGAGAUACGGCCCAGACUCCUACGGGAGGCAGCAGUGGGGAAUAUUGCACAAUGGGCGCAAGCCUGAUGCGGCGACGCCGCGUGAGGGAUGACGGCCUUCGGGUUGUAAACCUCUUUCAGCACCGACGAAGCGCAAGUGACGGUAGGUGCAGAAGAAGGACCGGCCAACUACGUGCCAGCCGCCGCGGUAA
This 478-nucleotide ribosomal RNA is filed under the name uncultured bacterium. RNAcentral's name for it is "partial 16S ribosomal RNA". It matches the Rfam family "Bacterial small subunit ribosomal RNA", at positions 28 to 523 of the family's 1533-position model. The record is from RNAcentral.